AGCUGGUCCAAAGGUAGUAAGUUAUCUCACUUGAUUUUUCAUAGUCAGUUACAGAUUGAACUUCUUCUACUCUUUCUCCCUUCUCACUACUGCUCUUGACAAGUAAAAA
This 109-nucleotide Y RNA is filed under the name Prolemur simus (greater bamboo lemur). RNAcentral describes it as "Y RNA (ENSPSMG00000004833.1)". It matches the Rfam family "Y RNA". Rfam says of the family: Y RNAs are components of the Ro ribonucleoprotein particle (Ro RNP), in association with Ro60 and La proteins. The Y RNAs and Ro60 and La proteins are well conserved, but the function of the Ro RNP is not known. The record is from Rfam by way of RNAcentral. Lineage: Eukaryota; Metazoa; Chordata; Mammalia; Primates; Lemuridae.